RNAcentral lists this long non-coding RNA (3186 nucleotides) under Coffea arabica (coffee). RNAcentral's name for it is "long non-coding RNA (CARA_LNC000281)". Lineage: Eukaryota; Viridiplantae; Streptophyta; Magnoliopsida; Gentianales; Rubiaceae. The record is from RNAcentral.
AAAAUGGAAACUACUAGUACUUGCCUUGUCUACUAUUGGAACCAAAAAAUUGCCUUCUACUAGUACUUGCCAUUUUCUUCUACAAACUAGUAGAACAGAGAAUUGUCUCCUACUGGUGCUUGCAUUGCUUUCUAUAAACUACUAGUUGUUCUUGUCUGCCACUUGUAACCCAAAGAAUCAAUUUUCCUCUCUUAAACAACCAAAAUCGAGAGGAACCAAGGAGGGAAAAAAGCUACUAGUCAAACAAACUCUUAACCGCCACUACCUCUUUCAUCUAUCAACUAACCAAUUAGAUUCUCUUAUGCUUCAUUCCAGUCGGCACACAUCCAUAAAUUUUGCAUAAAACACAAAUUAGUUUCUAUCAACUAGGAAGAGAGAAAGUGAGCUGGGAGAGUCUUGAGAAAGAGAGGAACAUUCCCUUGCUUGGUUCGCUGAGAGGAAGCUCCAAUUCAACCUAAAAUCUUCUCCAAAAUCCCUCCUAAAAUAUAAAGUCACAACCAAGAGAAAGGGAGAUUGAAAGCUGGAAAAACAACCUGCAAGAAAUUGUCCAUUGUUCCAGCUUGAAGGCUGAGAGGAAUAGGGAGGUUUAGCUGCAUUCUUUUUCAGUUUUCUUGCUCAAUCAAGGGUAAAACUCCUCCAAAACUUCAUUUCUUUCACAUACAAGAGGAUUAACCUUUGCAUCUUAUUUUUAAGUAGUGAAAAUGGUAGUCCUUGGAGAUUAAAGUGAAGCUCUCCUUGAUUGAAUGAUGAACUGUUUGUUUGCUAUGUUGUUGGUAUAUAUGGACUUUUGAUUUCCAAUUUUGGAUAAAUAUACUUGAACUCAUGAAAUAUGUUUAGUAUACUCAUUAUUCGGUAUCGCAUGUGAAUUUUAUGGUGAAAAAAUUUGAAUUUUAUGGCUGGAAUUUUGGUUGGAAGUUGCAUGACUGUCAUACCAUGUUCCAGCUUAGCCGAUGGAAAUUUCUUGGAGUUUGAAUGGAUAUUUUGGUAUAAAAUUGGCUGGGAAAUGCUUUAUUGGUACUUAUUUGUGUGUUAUGAGUUUGUUGGUGUGUGAUUUGUGGCUAGAAAUAAAAUUUAAAAUAGUUAAAAAUUGGAGGGAAAAGCUGUUGUACCAACUAUAGGAACCGAGGGGGCCUUGUAGCUUAUUUGAGUGAAUCUUCAAUAAUUAUCAAGUUCAAUUGGUUUUAUAUGAAUUACAUACACACCUUAAUGUAGUAAUCUAGUCAUGCAUGUGGUUUUUGACCAAUAAAAAAAUGGAAUUAUGGGACAAGAAAGUACACUAAAAUUAGCUACUUUUGAACUUGAAUGAUUAGAAAAGGGGAAUGGGAGUUAAAUUGACCCCUCAUCUAAAUAGAACCAAUUAAAGAAAAUUAAAUGUUUAGAUUUUAGGUAUCUAAAACUAGAGAUGUAUGAAUUAGUUAGACCCUUUUGAGCUGAUUGGAAUGAUUGAGGAUUUCAAACUAAUUUCUAAACUUUCUCUGGAAAUUUUGGCCAAACUUUGAACUAAGAACAACCGAUUAGAUAUAAUGGUAAAAUGCAGGUUGUAUAGAAUGUAUGUUGAGUGUAUAGUGUUUUAAGCAAGAAAAGAUGAAAUUUUGUUAAAAUUUUGAGGUAAUCUUGCUAGAAAACUAUUUUGUUGGCCGAGAGAGUGAGGAGAUGAAGCUCUUAUGUUAUUUUCGAAAAUUCUAGGAUAAUUGGUUAUAAAUUUUGUAUAAAACAUCUUAUAACACUUUGACCCUGCUUAUACCUGAUUAUUUAGUAAUUUUGAGAUUUGAGAAACUAGUGAAUUAUGAGAAAAGUUAAACUUCAACCUAAUUGAAAGCGGGUUUGGCUGAGAAAAAAAAAUGGUGAAUGAGUGAUGAUGAAUAAAAGUUCUAUCAGCUAUAACUUUAAAAGUUUGGAUAGAGAAUGACACAAACUUAGCUCAAACACCUUAUGAGACCUUAAAUUUGAUAUGUAUGUAUAUUUUCCAUUAUUUUUAGCUAAUAACCUUGAUAAAUCUCGAAGAAACAUGUAAGAAGCACUGUUUGGAAUUUUGCUUCUUACAUGUUUCUUCGAGAUUUAUCAAGGUUAUUAGCUAAAAAUAAUGGAAAAUAUACAUACAUAUCAAAUAAGCAUUGUUGGAAUUUUGUAUCUUGUUUUAUAAGUUAAGAAACUAAGUUUCUAGCCCUCAGGGGCUUGGUCUGGUGGUUGAGGUUGCUGAAGAUGGAGCUUCAGGUCCCUGGUUCGAACCUUACUGCCAGCAAGUUGCUGAGGGUGGUGAAUAGUCUGCGGGGUCCACUCCCUGCGGGACACACCUAAAAAAAAAAAGAAAAAAAAAGAAACUAAGUUUCUAGUAAAUUAAAUCUUAAUUUGAUGAAUGAUAGUGGUCAUACAUGAAUUGUAUUUUCACUUUAGGAUUAUCAAUUUGUCUCAGGGGACACCAGUGAGACAGGAAACAACUCCGAGACUCAAGUAUAAAUUAUGUUGACUAGGGUGAGUGUUCUUAAGUUGCUUGUGCAUGAUUAUUUGAUGGUAUUGCUUACUUUUGAAAUUUUAUUGAUAAAAGGGCUAAAGCGUAUUUAAUCGCUUCUGCCUUAAUAAUUUGAAAUGGAUAUCAUGGUGAAUGAAGAUUGGAUUGUGCAUGAAUGAUUGUAGGCCGUAGUGUACUUUAUCACUUCGGCCGAAUUGGGCCCUAAGCCUUGACAAGCUGAUCUAGUCGAGCCAGUAAAGAACUUGGUCGAUUAGGUUGGCUACCUUGAGCAAUUGAAUGUUAUACUCGAGUAUUAUCUGAAAGAAUGGAGAUUAAUGAACUGCUUAUUGAAUGUCGGGCAUUGUUUAUUGUUUUGGAGGUUAUAAAGGGAAAGAAUGGUGGAGUGAGAAGAAGUUGUAUCCUUUUAAAUGAAUGUUUACCCGAUUGAAUUGUUCUCCUGAUUGGUUAUGUUGAAGGAAUGUCUUAUAUUGUUAUUUGGUUUUACACUUUUGAACCUCACUGAGCUUUUGUUCAAACUUUUAGUUUUAUUUUCCUUACAGGAGUUAAAGUUUGAAGAAUGAACAAGUUGGGUUAGAAUGUUUUGGAAGGUCCAUUAUUGUAUAUAUAUCUCUGUUAAUAUUUACUUUUGUAUUUUGUAAUGGACAAAGCUUUUAUCUUACUAGUUGGAGAAGUAUUAAGAAUGAAUGUUUUGGAUGUUUACUGAGAAAUGUUAUUUC